UAUAUAUAUAUUUUAGGUUUAUCGAGGGUGAACUUAGGACCCGGGGCCUCAGCGGACGAGGGGGCGGAGUUACGUAUGAUUGACAGAAUAUUCUGGAGGCACGGCAAGCGAGUAAUCUGGCAAGCUGACCGCAGCCACACAACGAGACAACCGACGAAUUUCAGCGAAAUUCUGACCCGAACCGGGAUUUACAUCGCGUUUUGAUGCCAAAACAUCAGUCAGAAAGUGCCACCAAUGGACUUCAAUCAUUGACGAUCUCAUUUGAGAGCUGAUAAUGAUGAAGAUGAAGCUGCGUACGGCGGGAGGCGAAAAUCACCGAUGCGACUUGAGUUUGGUUAACGGAACCGAUCGCUCGGGUUGUCGGGAGGGCGGCACCGGAGCGCCUCCACUCGAUAAGGAGACUGUGUUCGAGUGGUUCGGCUUACGGCUGAACCCUGCCGGACGUAUCGAGCUGCUCUGCGGGCUGCUGCAUAUGUGUCAGCCGCUGGAGCUGCGUUUCCUCGGCGCCUGUCUAGAGGAUCUGGCCCGAAAAGACUUCACCUUCCUGCGGGACUUCGAGACCCGGGCCAACUUCCCCGCGGAUCUAGAGGGGCUGGUGGACGUGGGCGACCCCGUGGUGCUGUCCAAGCUGCUCGUUUAUUUGUCCCUCCUCGGAUCCAAGAGCAGGGAAUGUGCCGGGAUAUUAUUCAGGACCCUGAGCCGAAUAAACGCGGGGAUGUGCGGGGCUCUACCGGAGCCGGAUACGGUUGACCAGCUGCGGCUGCUCUACACGAUGGGCUCGUUACACCCGGCGUUCAGCUUUCAUCAGCGGGAAGAGCUGCGAGCGCAGCUGGAAAGACUCCAGGGAUGGAUUCAGUUUUCCAGUCCCGGGUUCCUCUGUCCACACCAGGAGAAUGAAGUGGACUGGACUCUAUGCAGCGAUCCCAAUCCGCACCUCAGCAGCAGGUCACAGAGAGAAGUGGUGCACAUUGAAAAGAUCAUUCUGAAGGAGAUUUCUGUGGCAGGAGAUGGCAGGCAGUACACUUUUGAGGUAAAAUGGUCAGACGCUUCAUCGACCACUGUCAGCAAAAGUCAUUGUGAAUUAGAGGACUUUCUGUUAAAGCUUCCUAAGGAGCAGAGCCCUGAUGGCUUUGAGAAAAGCAUUGUCAGGAUAUUAAGUCGAGCAGAUCAAUGUGAGUCCAGAGAACUGGAGAGAAAUCUCAGGGAGAAGUUUUUGUCUUUAUCACAGGAGGUUCUCAAGAGGUGUGACGUCUCCACGUUCUUCAUGUCUGAUCCAUCUUUACGGCCCUGCAGUCACUGUACCAGAGCACCUGUAUCCAGAAUCCAUCAGCCUGCACGUGGUUUCUCUGAAGACUGCUCGGAGACCUCCAGUCUGGAAGAGGACGUGGAGGGUUACAGAGUCAGAGCCACGGGUUUGAGUCAUCAGCAUUCAGAAAGCCAGAGAAGAGGAAACUGUGAGCAGAACGGAGAGAGAGUUUGGAUGAAAGAAAGCGAACUAGAACAGAGCUGCACAAAUGACAGAAGAAUCCCGACGCCCGGACCAAAGAGCAAAGGGAGAUCUGCUAGCAAAAGGGAGCGAGGCCGAAGGGUGACCAGCGCAAAGAGUUCUUCUGCAACACUCGUGAUCAACCAGACGGCUUGCAAAGACACUGGAAGGGUCAGAUAUGGAGAUACAUCCUCGGAUAGCUCCAACUCCGUGCCAUCAAGUCCUGUUCACCACAAGAGCCUGGAGGAGCAAGAUACAGAGAGUCAAUCCGACAACUCGGCUCAGGAACCGUCUGAAAAAAGUCACCUUGCCAAAAGCAUUGGCGGGAAAGCGGUUGCCAUGGUGAAUCCGUUAGUCGCCGAGCCACAGAACGUCCCGCAGCCUCCUUCGAUGGUAGAGCUGACCGCUCGCUUCCCCUGCGGCCUGCAGUACAACCCGACCCAGAGAGACGCCAGCGAGGGCAAGAUAACCAUAACCAUCCCGCUGGUCAGAGACGCGGUAACGUCUGCCAGCACACAGACACAGCAGCAACCCCCGCCGGGACCUCUGCAGCCCGGAAACAGCACUGCCAGCAAUCCUAUCAAAACAAAUGCCAAGGCUUCCAACAAUGCCACCCCUUCCAGCGCAAGCUCCUGCCCUCUCUCUACAGGACCUUGUGCCACGAGCGUGCACGCCCCGGGGCCGGCACCCCUGCCGCCCACCGCCGCCACCGCUCAGAGCGAUUCCUUGUCUUACAUCAACAGCCCAAACCCGCCGGUCACGGCGCAGACGCAUGCCAGCGGGACGCAGCAGCAGGGGGGCUGCAACACGUGCGGCUGCCGCGGUAGUUGCGGCGGAAACGUCGCGCAUCAGACGCUAGGCUACUUCCUGCCUCCCCAACACGCUCGUCAGAUGUUUGUUCCCCCACCUACGUUCUUCAACCUCCCGCCUUCAAGUUUCCCCGCCCAGGGCCACCAGAAUAACGGGACGCCUUUGACGUUUUACUCUCCCGGGGCUUUUCUUCACCCUCAUUCGGACCACAUGUUGGCCACGCAGGCGGGUUACAAUCUGCCCCAAAUGCAGCAUUUUCGACGCUUCUACCAACCUCAACCCAUCUUUUCGCCGGUCGGCCUGCUGUCGGGUGGAAACAACGUGAAGAAGGUCACCAACGCUUCCUGUUACAACUGCGGAAAGACCGGACAUUACGCCCCGGAGUGCAAGCAGCCGUCCAUCGAUGCCGGACUGACAGGUAACAUCAGGGUCUGGAGAUGAUGAUGAUGAUGAUGUUUUAGGUCAGAAACAUAUUCUACCUAAAGAAACAAACACGGAUGUGGGUUCCGGCUAAAGUACGUCGGCCCGAACUCCUCAGAUGUGGUAGACAAAAAUGAUUGACAGCAAGCAGAGGACCAUAACCUGACAGCCACGAUUUCCAGUGAUGCAUACAUUCACGCUCGUAUUAGCAUCCUAAAAAAGAGAGCCGAGAGGAAGAGUUUUGGACGCGCUGACAAGUCGACAGUGUUUACUUUAAACUGAGCUUCUCUUACACACACAUUCUCCUUUUAUUGUGUUAUAAAUGGAAUAAGGCGGCUGGCUAAUAGUUGAUUUGUUUUAGGUUAAGUAUAAAUACUUUUUUAUGCAAACUCAUGUCGUCAGUGAUGGACACGAAUAGGAAAACUGAAACUUGAGUCCUUUAGUGCAGUAUUUGGUUAUUUUAUUGAGAAAGAGAAGAUAAAAUACUGUAUGCUAAUAUUUCGUAAGUUCUUAUUUUGUUACGGCUUAUAAUGAUGCGUUUGCAGGUGCCGGUUUGCUCCGUUCUCGUUCUGAACACGAUGCACUACAGCCUUCGUUCUCUGAAAAAAUGUGAGCUAUUUGAAAUGCACUGAAACAGCCACAGAGUCACAAACUCUGACCACUAGAGGGCGCAAGAGUUCCCCCCUGCACCUUUAGGCCAUAAGAACUCAAACACUUUCUGGGAAAUAUAAUUACUUGGUUUUGAUUCAAACAAUAUAUUCAAUCUAAACCUAAAGCACUGUUCGAGAAUUGUAUUUCGAUGGUCACAAGACGCAACAAAGACAUUUUUUGGGGAGGGAAAAUGAAAAUAUUGUCUAGAUUUGACAUAACGAGCAUUUACGUUGCUUGUGUGUGGUGAAAUAGUUUUCUGCUAGUUGUAAAGAGGGGUUUGACAUUUGUGCCUAUUGUCAUGCGAACACUUAAGUGUGCGUGUUGAAAAUAAUUUCGCAAGGUCUUAAUUCUGUGUUCUAAAUAUAUAUAUAUUUCAAAUAUCAAAGUUAUAAUUUCGAAAUGGCCAAAGCUUCUCUUUUUAUAUGAAGAUUUGGCAUGUUUGUAUUGAGAAAAGCAAGUAUUUUAUUUUGAUAUUUUCGAGGACAGUUCGAGACCUUGAACGUGGUUGGCCAGGUUUAUUUAAGCACAUUUUAUCUUUACCUGCGGUGCAAUGGCAACUUUGCUUUUCACUACAGUGGAUUGUGUUGCAGGUUUUUAAAUGUGCUUGGUUUGGUUAAAUAAGGACUGUAAAUUGACACUAAUGGGGGUUUACUGCUUAAAGCUAAACCCAAAAAACUUGAGCGUAUUCGUUACACUUUUUUUUAUAGAUUUAUGAAGCUGUACUGUAUGGAUGAGGUUUGCCUCAGAGUUUACGUUUACUGUAUUUCAUAUUUCAAAUGUUUAAGAAUCUGUACUGAAAAAAAAGUCAAAUUAAUCUGAUCACAUUUGUAUUUUUUUGGCAAAGUGUCCCAUUUGUGUCAAAAUAUUAGCAAUAAAUGAAAAACAAACCCA
This is a non-coding RNA of Misgurnus anguillicaudatus (oriental weatherfish), 4258 nucleotides long. NCBI's taxonomy places the organism in Eukaryota, Metazoa, Chordata, Actinopteri, Cypriniformes, Cobitidae. The record is from RefSeq and is a predicted model, not a curated record.